GAAUGCUGACAUAAGUAACGAUAAAGCGGGUGAAAAGCCCGCUCGCCGGAAGACCAAGGGUUCCUGUCCAACGUUAAUCGGGGCAGGGUGAGUCGACCCCUAAGGCGAGGCCGAAAGGCGUAGUCGAUGGGAAACGGGUUAAUAUUCCCGUACUUGGUGUUACUGCGAAGGGGGGACGGAGAAGGCUAUGUUGGCCGGGCGACGGUUGUCCCGGUUUAAGCGUGUAGGUGUGUGUUCCAGGUAAAUCCGGUUCACUUUAACACUGAGGCGUGACGACGAGGCACUACGGUGCUGAAGCAACAAAUGCCCUGCUUCCAGGAAAAGCCUCUAAGCAUCAGGUAACAUCAAAUCGUACCCCAAACCGACACAGGUGGUCAGGUAGAGAAUACCAAGGCGCUUGAGAGAACUCGGGUGAAGGAACUAGGCAAAAUGGUGCCGUAACUUCGGGAGAAGGCACGCUGACACGUAGGUGAAGUGAUUUACUCAUGGAGCUGAAGUCAGUCGAAGAUACCAGCUGGCUGCAACUGUUUAUUAAAAACACAGCACUGUGCAAACACGAAAGUGGACGUAUACGGUGUGACGCCUGCCCGGUGCCGGAAGGUUAAUUGAUGGGGUCAGCGCAAGCGAAGCUCCUGAUCGAAGCCCCGGUAAACGGCGGCCGUAACUAUAACGGUCCUAAGGUAGCGAAAUUCCUUGUCGGGUAAGUUCCGACCUGCACGAAUGGCGUAAUGAUGGCCAGGCUGUCUCCACCCGAGACUCAGUGAAAUUGAACUCGCUGUGAAGAUGCAGUGUACCCGCGGCAAGACGGAAAGACCCCGUGAACCUUUACUAUAGCUUGACACUGAACAUUGAGCCUUGAUGUGUAGGAUAGGUGGGAGGCUUUGAAGUGUGGACGCCAGUCUGCAUGGAGCCGACCUUGAAAUACCACCCUUUAAUGUUUGAUGUUCUAACGUGGACCCGUUACCCGGGUUGCGGACAGUGUCUGGUGGGUAGUUUGACUGGGGCGGUCUCCUCCUAAAGAGUAACGGAGGAGCACGAAGGUUGGCUAAUCCUGGUCGGACAUCAGGAGGUUAGUGCAAUGGCAUAAGCCAGCUUGACUGCGAGCGUGACGGCGCGAGCAGGUGCGAAAGCAGGUCAUAGUGAUCCGGUGGUUCUGAAUGGAAGGGCCAUCGCUCAACGGAUAAAAGGUACUCCGGGGAUAACAGGCUGAUACCGCCCAAGAGUUCAUAUCGACGGCGGUGUUUGGCACCUCGAUGUCGGCUCAUCACAUCCUGGGGCUGAAGUAGGUCCCAAGGGUAUGGCUGUUCGCCAUUUAAAGUGGUACGCGAGCUGGGUUUAGAACGUCGUGAGACAGUUCGGUCCCUAUCUGCCGUGGGCGCUGGAGAACUGAGGGGGGCUGCUCCUAGUACGAGAGGACCGGAGUGGACGCAUCACUGGUGUUCGGGUUGUCAUGCCAAUGGCACUGCCCGGUAGCUAAAUGCGGAAGAGAUAAGUGCUGAAAGCAUCUAAGCACGAAACUUGCCCCGAGAUGAGUUCUCCCUGAGACUUAGAGUCUCCUGAAGGAACGUUGAAGACGACGACGUUGAUAGGCCGGGUGUGUAAGCGCAGCGAUGCGUUGAGCUAACCGGUACUAAUGAACCGUGAGGCUUAACCUUACA
RNAcentral lists this ribosomal RNA (1658 nucleotides) under Salmonella enterica. RNAcentral's name for it is "partial 23S ribosomal RNA". It matches the Rfam family "Bacterial large subunit ribosomal RNA", at positions 1292 to 2925 of the family's 2925-position model. Lineage: Bacteria; Pseudomonadati; Pseudomonadota; Gammaproteobacteria; Enterobacterales; Enterobacteriaceae. The record is from RNAcentral.